AAAUUGAAGAGUUUGAUCAUGGCUCAGAUUGAACGCUGGCGGCAGGCCUAACACAUGCAAGUCGAACGGUAACAGGAAGCAGCUUGCUGCUUUGCUGACGAGUGGCGGACGGGUGAGUAAUGUCUGGGAAACUGCCUGAUGGAGGGGGAUAACUACUGGAAACGGUGGCUAAUACCGCAUAACGUCGCAAGACCAAAGAGGGGGACCUUCGGGCCUCUUGCCAUCAGAUGUGCCCAGAUGGGAUUAGCUUGUUGGUGAGGUAACGGCUCACCAAGGCGACGAUCCCUAGCUGGUCUGAGAGGAUGACCAGCCACACUGGAACUGAGACACGGUCCAGACUCCUACGGGAGGCAGCAGUGGGGAAUAUUGCACAAUGGGCGCAAGCCUGAUGCAGCCAUGCCGCGUGUAUGAAGAAGGCCUUCGGGUUGUAAAGUACUUUCAGCGGGGAGGAAGGUGUUGUGGUUAAUAACCGCAGCAAUUGACGUUACCCGCAGAAGAAGCACCGGCUAACUCCGUGCCAGCAGCCGCGGUAAUACGGAGGGUGCAAGCGUUAAUCGGAAUUACUGGGCGUAAAGCGCACGCAGGCGGUCUGUCAAGUCGGAUGUGAAAUCCCCGGGCUCAACCUGGGAACUGCAUUCGAAACUGGCAGGCUUGAGUCUUGUAGAGGGGGGUGGAAUUCCAGGUGUAGCGGUGAAAUGCGUAGAGAUCUGGAGGAAUACCGGUGGCGAAGGCGGCCCCCUGGACAAAGACUGACGCUCAGGUGCGAAAGCGUGGGGAGCAAACAGGAUUAGAUACCCUGGUAGUCCACGCCGUAAACGAUGUCUACUUGGAGGUUGUGCCCUUGAGGCGUGGCUUCCGGAGCUAACGCGUUAAGUAGACCGCCUGGGGAGUACGGCCGCAAGGUUAAAACUCAAAUGAAUUGACGGGGGCCCGCACAAGCGGUGGAGCAUGUGGUUUAAUUCGAUGCAACGCGAAGAACCUUACCUGGUCUUGACAUCCACAGAACUUUCCAGAGAUGGAUUGGUGCCUUCGGGAACUGUGAGACAGGUGCUGCAUGGCUGUCGUCAGCUCGUGUUGUGAAAUGUUGGGUUAAGUCCCGCAACGAGCGCAACCCUUAUCCUUUGUUGCCAGCGGUCCGGCCGGGAACUCAAAGGAGACUGCCAGUGAUAAACUGGAGGAAGGUGGGGAUGACGUCAAGUCAUCAUGGCCCUUACGACCAGGGCUACACACGUGCUACAAUGGCGCAUACAAAGAGAAGCGACCUCGCGAGAGCAAGCGGACCUCAUAAAGUGCGUCGUAGUCCGGAUUGGAGUCUGCAACUCGACUCCAUGAAGUCGGAAUCGCUAGUAAUCGUGGAUCAGAAUGCCACGGUGAAUACGUUCCCGGGCCUUGUACACACCGCCCGUCACACCAUGGGAGUGGGUUGCAAAAGAAGUAGGUAGCUUAACCUUCGGGAGGGCGCUUACCACUUUGUGAUUCAUGACUGGGGUGAAGUCGUAACAAGGUAACCGUAGGGGAACCUGCGGUUGGAUCAC
Molecule: ribosomal RNA, 1535 nt
Filed under: Salmonella enterica subsp. enterica serovar Afula
Lineage: Bacteria; Pseudomonadati; Pseudomonadota; Gammaproteobacteria; Enterobacterales; Enterobacteriaceae
Description: bacterial SSU rRNA
Rfam family: Bacterial small subunit ribosomal RNA
Source: RNAcentral